UGCACUGCAUCUCAGGUUAAUAUAACUCCCUCACGAGCGAUGGAGGAAAUUACGUUUCCUUUCGAGGCGUGUCACCGUGGUCAAAGCAUCUUUUUUUCUACGACCUUUGUCGCGUUCAAAACAACUGGGAACUCGGAUGUAUCCGUUUUCAGUGCGUCCAUGACAACUGGGAACUCGGAGAAUUUUUUUUUGCUCCGACUGGGUAAAAUCGUUUUCAACGGUCAUCCAACUCGGAAUUCCAAGGCGGAAAUUUGGGCGUCUUUCUAGAGUUCCGUCUUUCCGACUGACGUCCUGAUUUGACCCGUUUCAUACGAGCUACCAGUAGUCUAGAAAGCGCCAUACAUUCGGAGCUACGCUAGUGUACAAGUUUGUCGGUAAUAUUACAGCAACAAAGCCAUCGGGAUGCGGGGAGGCAAACUGCUACUGACUAUCACAUGAGUGAUCUUAUUUAACGGUAUUUCUCCGGUAUAGGCUAAGCGGUAGAGACUACUUUUUUUUAAAUAACAGACAAAAAUAUUAGACAAUAGGAUAAAUAUAUCAUAUUUUGCUGACUUGAAAAGUCAACACGCUUUCUGUCAGCAACAAUGGAAUUUAGUUUUAUAUUGCUUAUUCUCUUCACGUUUCUUACUAUUAUUCUGGUGACUACAUUGUUCAGUAACAACGAUACUACUGCCUCUGCCUCGUCCUCUGGCUCUGCUGCAUCCAAAGCAGAUCACUCAGGGGAGGAGGGCUCUUUGGCGCAGUCUGUGAGAGAGGAGGUAAAAGCCGGAUUAGUUAAAACAGGACCGUCGGUAAAUCUUACGGAGCAACAGGGGACAGUAGCAGGGCUAACCUCUACGAACAAACCGGAGGAGGACAGUCAACGCCGAUUCGUGGGGAAGAUAACGGACCCGGUGGCAGCAGACAGAAGGACAGUUGGGGAGGAGGGGCUGCACGCUGCUGAAGUUAGGAUCCAUGAUGCCACGAACGAGGGAAAUAUGAAAUCUGGCAUUAUGUCUGACCAACAGUGCUGGACCUCAAACCCUGCCUCAGCGGCGGUGGACAUUCAAGGAAGAGACUUUGGUCACCUACAGUUCCCUGAGGGGUGGUCAUUACUGUGUCCUUUCUCCCACCAACAGACAGGGGGCGCCACAGAGAGCCCGGAGGACAGCAACUGUGAAUAUGGAAGAAGUGGACGCAGAACAUGCGCCCAUGAAAUACGCCCCCCGGACCAGCCAGAUGAAGAAGAUGAUAACCAAAGAGGAGCUGGAGGAGGAACAGAGGGUAGAGUUCACCACUGACUUUACCUCUCUGUAAGACCCUCGGACAGACCGACAGACAUGCAGACAGACAGGGGUUGUAGUAAAAGCAUGGGUGCAACAGGAGCAGCUGGCAGCCAUCUUCCAGCUGCUGAAGGAGAACCAGGAGACGUUUGGGGAGGUGUCAGAGGGAGACGUGGAGGAGCAACUCAGACUCUACUCCAUCUAAACCCCUAGUCUACUACUUUCCCCAAACUCUACUCUAUGUUAAUCCCACAUAAAACCGACAAUCAAGAUUAAGGUGCAUUCACAUGGUCCCCUGGGUUUCAAAGGGGGUGUUGUUUCAAUGGUCCGCUCUAUUUUGAGGCACGUACUCUUCUCUAAAGAUUCUGAGGCGAUAGCUAAUCAGGCUUUGGAUAGUUGGACCUGAGUGAUUUGAUUGGUCUGAUACGAUCUAAGAUGUUCUUAUACCGUACACACCCAUGAAAGCCAACAGUUUCAGCAAGCCUCACAACAAACACUUAUCUGAACGUACCUUCCUCCUUUCAGCUAUUCCCUACCUUCCCUCGGCUGUAUCCUUCUCUCACCCUCUCCCUCUAGACCCCUGUGUUUAAAUAAACACAUCAUUGGCGCGAACACAAACAUGUACAUUAGAUACUCCAAUAUGGCUUCUGCUGUUUAUUACUUUUAUAUACCAUUCAAAGCAAUAAACACUGUGUAUUUGAUACAA
Molecule: RNA transcript, 1968 nt
Organism: Coregonus clupeaformis (lake whitefish)
Lineage: Eukaryota; Metazoa; Chordata; Actinopteri; Salmoniformes; Salmonidae
Gene name: matrix-remodeling-associated protein 7
Exons: 5
Source: RefSeq, a predicted model, not a curated record